This 496-nucleotide ribosomal RNA is filed under the name uncultured bacterium. RNAcentral's name for it is "partial 16S ribosomal RNA". It matches the Rfam family "Bacterial small subunit ribosomal RNA", at positions 29 to 507 of the family's 1533-position model. The record is from RNAcentral.
AUGAACGCUGGCGGCGUGCCUAAUACAUGCAAGUCGAGCGAACAGAUGAGGAGCUUGCUCCUCUGACGUUAGCGGCGGACGGGUGAGUAACACGUGGAUAACCUACCUAUAAGACUGGGAUAACUUCGGGAAACCGGAGCUAAUACCGGAUAAUAUAUUGAACCGCAUGGUUCAAUAGUGAAAGACGGUUUUGCUGUCACUUAUAGAUGGAUCCGCGCCGCAUUAGCUAGUUGGUAAGGUAACGGCUUACCAAGGCAACGAUGCGUAGCCGACCUGAGAGGGUGAUCGGCCACACUGGAACUGAGACACGGUCCAGACUCCUACGGGAGGCAGCAGUAGGGAAUCUUCCGCAAUGGGCGAAAGCCUGACGGAGCAACGCCGCGUGAGUGAUGAAGGUCUUCGGAUCGUAAAACUCUGUUAUCAGGGAAGAACAAAUGUGUAAGUAACUAUGCACGUCUUGACGGUACCUAAUCAGAAAGCCACGGCUAACUACGUG